AACCGGAUUAGAUACCCUGGUAGUCCACGCCCUAAACGAUGUCUACUAGUUGUCGGGUUUUAAUUAACUUGGUAACGCAGCUAACGCGUGAAGUAGACCGCCUGGGGAGUACGGUCGCAAGAUUAAAACUCAAAGGAAUUGACGGGGACCCGCACAAGCGGUGGAUGAUGUGGAUUAAUUCGAUGCAACGCGAAAAACCUUACCUACCCUUGACAUGUACGGAAGACCGAAGAGAUUUGGUUGUGCUCGAAAGAGAACCGUAACACAGGUGCUGCAUGGCUGUCGUCAGCUCGUGUCGUGAGAUGUUGGGUUAAGUCCCGCAACGAGCGCAACCCUUGUCAUUAGUUGCUACAUUCAGUUGAGCACUCUAAUGAGACUGCCGGUGACAAACCGGAGGAAGGUGGGGAUGACGUCAAGUCCUCAUGGCCCUUAUGGGUAGGGCUUCACACGUCAUACAAUGGUACAUACAGAGGGCCGCCAACCCGCGAGGGGGAGCUAAUCCCAGAAAGUGUAUCGUAGUCCGGAUCGCAGUCUGCAACUCGACUGCGUGAAGUUGGAAUCGCUAG
RNAcentral lists this ribosomal RNA (566 nucleotides) under uncultured bacterium. Its description in RNAcentral is "bacterial SSU rRNA". It matches the Rfam family "Bacterial small subunit ribosomal RNA", at positions 771 to 1338 of the family's 1533-position model. The record is from RNAcentral.